RNAcentral lists this ribosomal RNA (379 nucleotides) under uncultured cyanobacterium. RNAcentral describes it as "bacterial SSU rRNA". It matches the Rfam family "Bacterial small subunit ribosomal RNA", at positions 376 to 770 of the family's 1533-position model. The record is from RNAcentral. Lineage: Bacteria; Bacillati; Cyanobacteriota.
CGAAAGCCUGACGGAGCAACGCCGCGUGUGGGAAGAAGGCUCUUGGGCUGUCAACCACUUUUCUCAGGGAAGAAGUCCUGACGGUACCUGAGGAAUCAGCCUCGGCUAACUCCGUGCCAGCAGCCGCGGUAAUACGGAGGAGGCAAGCGUUAUCCGGAAUCAUUGGGCGUAAAGCGUUCGUAGGCGGCUGUUCAAGUCUGCUGUCAAAGCUCGGAGCUCAACUCCGAAGGGGCAGUGGAAACUGGGGAGCUAGAGGGCGGCAGGGGCAGAAGGAAUUCCCGGUGUAGCGGUGAAAUGCGUAGAGAUCGGGAAGAACACCAGAGGCGAAAGCGUUCUGCUGGGCCGCGCCUGACCCUGAGGGACGAAAGCCAGGGGAGCG